Molecule: ribosomal RNA, 253 nt
Filed under: uncultured bacterium
Lineage: Bacteria
Description: partial 16S ribosomal RNA
Rfam family: Bacterial small subunit ribosomal RNA
Source: RNAcentral
GACGAACCUUGCAAACGUUAUUCGGAAUCACUGGGCUUAAAGGGUGCGUAGGUGGUGCAGCAAGUCGGGUGUGAAAUCCCCCAGCUCAACUGGGGAACUGCGCCCGAAACUGCUGUGCUAGAGGAAGAUAGAGGUACGCGGAACUUAGGGUGGAGCGGUGAAAUGCGUUGAUAUCCUAAGGAACACCGGUGGCGAAAGCGGCGUACUGGGUCUUCUCUGACACUGAGGCACGAAAGCUAGGGUAGCGAACGGG